CUACGGGUCGCUGCAGUGGGGAAUAUUGCACAAUGGGGGAAACCCUGAUGCAGCAACGCCGCGUGGAGGAUGACGCAUUUCGGUGUGUAAACUCCCUUUAUAUAGGAAGAUAAUGACGGUACUAUAUGAAUAAGCACCGGCUAACUCCGUGCCAGCAGCCGCGGUGAAUACGGAGGGUGCAAGCGUUACUCGGAAUCACUGGGCGUAAAGCGCGCGCAGGCGGCCUUUUAAGUUGGAUGUGAAAGCCUAUGGCUUAACCAUAGAACUGCAUCCAAAACUAUCAGGCUAGAGUCUGGGAGGGGAAGAUGGAAUUAGUUGUGUAGGGGUAAAAUCCGUAGAGAUAACUAGGAAUACCAAAAGCGAAGGCGAUCUUCUGGAACAGUACUGACGCUGAGGCGCGAAAGCGUGGGGAGCAAACAGGAUUAGAUACCCGCGUAGUC
This 440-nucleotide ribosomal RNA is filed under the name uncultured bacterium. RNAcentral's name for it is "partial 16S ribosomal RNA". It matches the Rfam family "Bacterial small subunit ribosomal RNA", at positions 339 to 795 of the family's 1533-position model. The record is from RNAcentral.